RNAcentral lists this ribosomal RNA (453 nucleotides) under Paramunida echinata. RNAcentral's name for it is "partial 16S ribosomal RNA". It matches the Rfam family "Bacterial large subunit ribosomal RNA", at positions 1946 to 2597 of the family's 2925-position model. The record is from RNAcentral. Lineage: Eukaryota; Metazoa; Arthropoda; Malacostraca; Decapoda; Munididae.
CUGUGCAAAGGUAGCAUAAUCAUUAGUUUUUUAAUUGAAGGCUUGUAUGAAGGGUCUGACAAAGGAAAAGCUGUCUUUAAUUUUAUUUUUGAAUUUAACUUUUAAGUGAAAAGGCUUAAAUAAUUUUAAGGGACGAUAAGACCCUAUAAAUCUUUAUAUUAAAUUAUUAUCUUGAAUUUUAAUAAUUUGUCUAGAUUUGACAAGUAAAAUAAUAAAUAUUUUGUUGGGGUGACGAGAAUAUAAAAAUAACUGUUCUUAAAAAAAACAAAGUUGUUUGUAAAAUAAUUUAUAGAUCCUUUUUAAAGAUUAAAAGUUUAAGUUACUUUAGGGAUAACAGCGUUAUUUUUUUUGAGAGUUCUUAUCGAAAAAAAAGUUUGCGACCUCGAUGUUGAAUUAAAAUUUCUCUACGGUGUAGAAGUUGUGGAAGAGAGUCUGUUCGACUUUUGAAAUUUU